This 728-nucleotide long non-coding RNA is filed under the name Suricata suricatta (meerkat). Its description in RNAcentral is "lncRNA (ENSSSUG00005000328.1)". Lineage: Eukaryota; Metazoa; Chordata; Mammalia; Carnivora; Herpestidae. The record is from RNAcentral.
AAGAAAGAAAGUAAACACUCCCAACAUGCACUGAGGGAAAGGGAGUGGCUCAGGUUUCUUACAAGUCCCUGCUCUGACGAAAAGGGGUAAUAAUUAACAGCUUCUGGGGCUUGAUGAUCCUACAGAGGGGCACUGCCAGGUGCAGAGCAGAGCAGCGCGGAGCCUCCGGCUGCCACUCCUCCGCACCUGGCUCCGACCUCCACGGCAGGUGAGGGAGCCCUGCCUUUCCAACGGACAGUCGGGACCUGUGAAUCUGUGACUCAGCAGGGCAACAAAGUCUCUGGAGCAAGUUCAGCUCAACAGCUCAGGGUAUCCUCAGAUGAUCUCACACAAGGGGGAAAGAGGAGUAUGAUGGCUUACCAGUGCUCUUCCUGGAUCUUCAUCAACGAGAGGACAUUCAUUACCAGGUUAUGCAUACGGGCCGUCUGCAGCGGUUUUCUCAUACACAGCGAACAGCUGGCAGUGACCGGGCAGGCGUCUGAAGACUCUAAGAGUAAAGCUGAGCACUGCCCUGGCUGAGCUGUAACAAAAGCAGAUGAGGAAAAAGACAAGGAAAAACACACACAAGCACUUCACUGGCCGUGGAACUUGACCCACCCACGCCUCACUGGGAAGCGAAACAAAGCCAAACAAAUGAUAGAAGGCAGUGGAUAUAAAUGAUGCUGGACUGGGCCACAGGAAAGCAGAGAACAAACAUGGUCAACAAUGGAAUUAAGUCAGAACCGGAG